CCCAGCCGUAGCUACCCAAGCUUCGCCGCAGGCGCCUAGGGUGGCUCAGGUGUCGGCGCGGCUGCUGGUCUCAGACCCAAAGCAUCCCCACAGAGUAUGGUGACAUCUACAGCCAUAAACGCACGGUCCUGGUACCUGGCCACCUUGGUGUUGAGUUCCAGCACAAGGCACGCAGCCUUUACAGGCAUGGCUACAUACAGCCCAAUAUCAGGAAAGGAAAUGUCCUUUAAAGCCCCUCCCGCUGGACAUGGUGGCGCUCGCCUGUGAUCC
RNAcentral lists this long non-coding RNA (270 nucleotides) under Heterocephalus glaber (naked mole-rat). Its description in RNAcentral is "lncRNA (ENSHGLG00100052595.1)". Lineage: Eukaryota; Metazoa; Chordata; Mammalia; Rodentia; Bathyergidae. The record is from RNAcentral.